CCUACGGGAGGCAGCAGUGGGGGAUAUUGCACAAUGGGGGGAACCCUGAUGCAGCGACGCCGCGUGGGUGAAGAAGCGCCUCGGCGCGUAAAGCCCUGUCAGCAGGGAAGAAAAUGACGGUACCUGAAGAAGAAGCCCCGGCUAACUACGUGCCAGCAGCCGCGGUAAUACGUAGGGGGCAAGCGUGAUCCGGAUUUACUGGGUGGAAAGGGGGCGCAGACGGCGAUGCAAGCCAGGAGUGAAAGCCCGGGGCCCAACCCCGGGACUGCUGUGGAAACUGCGUGGCUGGAGUGCAGGAGGGGUAGGCGGAAUUCCUGGUGUAGCGGUGAAAUGCGUAGAUAUCAGGAGGAACACCGGUGGCGAAGGCGGCCUGCUGGACUGCAACUGACGUUGAGGCACGAAAGCGUGGGGAGCAAACAGGAUUAGAUACCCUUGUAGUC
Molecule: ribosomal RNA, 440 nt
Filed under: uncultured bacterium
Lineage: Bacteria
Description: partial 16S ribosomal RNA
Rfam family: Bacterial small subunit ribosomal RNA
Source: RNAcentral